AAAUAAAACAUGCAAAGUCUUUAAAUACUGGUACAAAACACAUUGUUAGCGUGCCUGCCAUAACCUAUACAAUAGAAGCAUAUCGAAUCCUUAUCCAUAGUGCAACUCCGAGCAUAGGAGGGGAAGUAUUUACAAAAAUAAUUUCACAUGUUGGGAAAAAAUCAAUAUCCGAAUAAGGAUUCACUGAGAUUUCCACAACCUUCACGGAAAGUAUAUAAUACGUUUUGGUAGCGCGCUUGCCAUAACCUAUAAAAUAGAAGCAUGUUGAAUCCUUGUCGAUACUGCAACUCAGAGCAUAGGAGGGGAAGUCAAUUUAUGAAUGGAAUCAAAGAUGUAGUUUUAUAUAAAAUAAUUUUAUUUAUUAGAAAAAAAAUCUAUAUUUGAAUGAGGAUUCACUAAGAUUUUCACAACCUAGACGAAAAGUAUAUAACUAAAGAGAAUGCAAAAUCUGGUUCUCUCAACUCAACAGUAGCAUCAGCUUUGCCAUUAAUUUGAUUUUCAUUGAAGUUCCAGCUUAUGGUGUUAUUUUACAACUCAAUUAGGUUUACAUAGAUAGAUGCUGAUAACAACGCUUCCAAACUUGAUGCUUGAGGCAUGAUGUCUGGAUUAAUAAUCCACUCAGUUGUAUUAGAUUUGCUUU
Molecule: long non-coding RNA, 640 nt
Filed under: Setaria viridis
Lineage: Eukaryota; Viridiplantae; Streptophyta; Magnoliopsida; Poales; Poaceae
Description: long non-coding RNA (SVIR_LNC007406)
Source: RNAcentral